AGGAAGUAAACUGUGGACACUGGACAGUGAGUGACGUUACGUGCUGUAACUUAUAUUGAAAGAGUGCCCCACAAAGGUGUUCUGCAGUUCCCUUAUGGUUUAUGUACAUCUGUUAUAUAUGACUCCCGGCUGCAUCACCAACUCAAUAUCACACCACUUACAACUACUCUGAGUGCAUCCCACUUCCUAUGUAUUCUGGUUGCCAUGCCAACGCCCCGAGAAGCAGCAGACAACACUUUCCGGAAAGGUAUGCGGUGACGAUACCGAGGAUUUUGACUAGGGGAGUGGAUCUCCGGCCCCCGUCUACAUCAUUUCCUGGUGUUUGGUUGCUAAGCUACAUGCCGCCGGUGAGUGGAAGGAUGCGGCGUGACGUCACUGAAACGCUUGCGGAGACGUUCGCCGGAAGUGACGUACACCGGAAGUGCGGGCGGCCCAGGAUCAGGAACGGGAGACGCACGUGUGGAGAUGAUCUAUUGGAGGGUAUUUAGGUA
This is a long non-coding RNA of Pseudophryne corroboree (corroboree frog), 491 nucleotides long. RefSeq lists it as uncharacterized. NCBI's taxonomy places the organism in Eukaryota, Metazoa, Chordata, Amphibia, Anura, Myobatrachidae. The record is from RefSeq and is a predicted model, not a curated record. The transcript has 3 exons.